UACGUAGGGCGCAAGCGUUGUCCGGAAUUAUUGGGCGUAAAGGGCUCGUAGGCGGUUUGUCGCGUCGGGAGUGAAAUCCACUGGCUUAACUGGUGGCUUGCUUUCGAUACGGGCAGACUGGAGGUAUGCAGGGGAGAACGGAAUUCCUGGUGUAGCGGUGAAAUGCGCAGAUAUCAGGAGGAACACCGGUGGCGAAGGCGGUUCUCUGGGCAUGUCCUGACGCUGAGGGGCGAAAGUGUGGGGAGCGAACAGG
Molecule: ribosomal RNA, 253 nt
Filed under: uncultured bacterium
Lineage: Bacteria
Description: partial 16S ribosomal RNA
Rfam family: Bacterial small subunit ribosomal RNA
Source: RNAcentral